CACGCUGUAAACGAUGGGUACUAGGCUUUGUGGGAAUAGACCCCUGCAGAGCCGGAGCUAACGCAAUAAGUACCCCGCCUGGGAAGUACGGUCGCAAGACUAAAACUCAAAGGAAUUGACGGGGGCCCGCACAAGCGGUGGAUCAUGUGGUUUAAUUCGAAGCAACGCGCAAAACCUUACCUGGGUUUGACAUCCUCUGACAAACGUAGAAAUACGUCUUUUGUAGCAAUACAACAGAGAGACAGGUGC
This 249-nucleotide ribosomal RNA is filed under the name uncultured bacterium. RNAcentral describes it as "partial 16S ribosomal RNA". It matches the Rfam family "Bacterial small subunit ribosomal RNA", at positions 796 to 1041 of the family's 1533-position model. The record is from RNAcentral.